GAUGAACGCUGGUGGCGUGCCUAACACAUGCAAGUCGAGCGAUUCUCUUCGGAGAAGAGCGGCGGACGGGUGAGUAACGCGUGGGUAACCUGCCCUGUACACACGGAUAACAUACCGAAAGGUAUGCUAAUACGAGAUAACAUGCUUUUAUCGCAUGGUAGAAGUAUCAAAGCUUUUGCGGUACAGGAUGGACCCGCGUCUGAUUAGCUAGUUGGUGAGUUAACGGCUCACCAAGGCGACGAUCAGUAGCCGACCUGAGAGGGUGAUCGGCCACAUUGGAACUGAGACACGGUCCAAACUCCUACGGGAGGCAGCAGUGGGGAAUAUUGCACAAUGGGCGAAAGCCUGAUGCAGCAACGCCGCGUGAGCGAUGAAGGCCUUCGGGUCGUAAAGCUCUGUCCUCAAGGAAGAUAAUGACGGUACUUGAGGAGGAAGCCCCGGCUAACUACGUG
RNAcentral lists this ribosomal RNA (452 nucleotides) under uncultured bacterium. Its description in RNAcentral is "partial 16S ribosomal RNA". It matches the Rfam family "Bacterial small subunit ribosomal RNA", at positions 28 to 507 of the family's 1533-position model. The record is from RNAcentral.